This 495-nucleotide ribosomal RNA is filed under the name uncultured bacterium. RNAcentral describes it as "partial 16S ribosomal RNA". It matches the Rfam family "Bacterial small subunit ribosomal RNA", at positions 28 to 507 of the family's 1533-position model. The record is from RNAcentral.
GAUGAACGCUGGCGGCGUGCCUAAUACAUGCAAGUAGAACGCUGAAGGAGGAGCUUGCUCUUCUGGAUGAGUUGCGAACGGGUGAGUAACGCGUAGGUAACCUGCCUGGUAGCGGGGGAUAACUAUUGGAAACGAUAGCUAAUACCGCAUGACAACAGUUAUUGCAUGAUAACUGUUUAAAAGGGGCAACUGCUCCACUACCAGAUGGACCUGCGUUGUAUUAGCUAGUUGGUGAGGUAACGGCUCACCAAGGCGACGAUACAUAGCCGACCUGAGAGGGGGAUCGGCCACACUGGGACGGAGACACGGCCCAGACUCCUACGGGAGGCAGCAGUAGGGAAACGUCGGCAAGGGACGGAAGUCUGACCGAGCAACGCCGCGUGAGGGAAGAAGGUUUUCGGAUCGUAAAGCUCUGUUGUAAGAGAAGAAAGAGUGUGAGAGUGGAAAGUUCACACUGUGACGGUAUCUUACCAGAAAGGGACGGCUAACUACGUG